RNAcentral lists this ribosomal RNA (253 nucleotides) under uncultured bacterium. RNAcentral's name for it is "partial 16S ribosomal RNA". It matches the Rfam family "Bacterial small subunit ribosomal RNA", at positions 524 to 776 of the family's 1533-position model. The record is from RNAcentral.
UACGUAGGGGGCGAGCGUUGUCCGGAUUCAUUGGGCGUAAAGCGCGCGCAGGCGGCCGCGAGAGCCCGGCGUGAAAGCCCCCGGCUCAACCGGGGGAGGCCGUCGGGGACCUCGGGGCUGGAGGCCGGUAGGGGCGAGCGGAAUUCCCGGUGUAGUGGUGGAAUGCGUAGAGAUCCGGAAGAACACCGGUGGCGAAGGCGGCCUGCUGGGCAGUGGCUGACACUGAGGCGCGACAGCGUGGGGAGCAAACAGG